This 676-nucleotide long non-coding RNA is filed under the name Junco hyemalis (dark-eyed junco). RNAcentral describes it as "lncRNA (ENSJHYG00000018439.1)". The record is from RNAcentral. Lineage: Eukaryota; Metazoa; Chordata; Aves; Passeriformes; Passerellidae.
GGCUUGCCACAAACCGAUUUCAAGUCUUCUCCUUCAGACCCAGGGGCUGGAGAAGCUGUCCCUCCAAGGCUCCCUGGCACCUACUGGGGGGACAUGUACCUCUCUAAACGGGCCCUGAAGCCGAAAUGCUUUGUUAUGCUCAAAACAAUAAAUAAGGUUCCGAGUGAAGCCUUCAGAAUAAAAGAUUGGUUAGUGUAAUAUCCCUAGUGCAGCUAUCAACGUGGUCAUAAGAACUAUGAACUACAGCGUGGGCCUCGGGUCCGUUGGAGGCACCGCACCGCCUGGGACACUUUCGGGCUGCCCCUGCACCGGCAGCCCCCGCUGCUGUCCCCCCGCCCGCCGGCCCCGGGGGUCGCGGGGCGCUGUCCCGGCGGCGGGGAGCGCCGGUGUGCGGGCAGCGCCGGUGUGCGGGCAGCGCCGGCGGCGGGGCCGGGUCCGCAGCCCCCUCAGCCGCCCUCAGCCCCCGCCCGCCCGUCCGCCCGCGCGCGGGGAGGGGGCGUCGCGGGGCGCCCCCUGGCGGCCGGCCGGGGCCAGGCGGAGCGCGCCCAAAGUUGAUUUUGUUCAGCAAGCCGUAUCGUAUAAAAUUAACGACAGCCAAUAAAAUUAGCUUACAUGUUUCAACCGUAAAAGUCCAAAACAAAAUAAAGCUAGUUUUAGUGAAGCUAAGAAGCUCUGC